This 420-nucleotide ribosomal RNA is filed under the name uncultured bacterium. RNAcentral describes it as "bacterial SSU rRNA". It matches the Rfam family "Bacterial small subunit ribosomal RNA", at positions 355 to 774 of the family's 1533-position model. The record is from RNAcentral.
UAAGGAAUAUUGCUCAAUGGGAGAAAUCCUGAAGCAGCAACGCCGCGUGGAGGAUGAAGGGUCUAUGACUUGUAAACUCCUGUAAAGAAGGAAAAAAUUCCCAUUUGAUGGGAGAUGAUGGUACUUCUGGAGUAAGCCCCGGCUAACUACGUGCCAGCAGCCGCGGUAAUACGUAGGGGGCAAGCGUUGCCCGGAUUUACUGGGUGUAAAGGGUGCUCAGGCGGAUUUGUAAGUCAGAGGUGAAAUCUUACAGCUUAACUGUGAAACUGCCUUUGAUACUGCAAGCCUAGAGUAUGGAAGAGAGUGAUGGAAUAUCUGGUGUAGCAGUGAAAUGCGUAGAUAUCAGAUAGAACACCAAUGGCGAAGGCAGUCACUUGGUCCAUUACUGACGCUAAAGCACGAAAGCGUGGGUAGCAAACA